UUACUUUCCUCACGUGAUCGACGUGAAGGACAACAGCAUUAGUGGGAGAAUUUCCAACAAUGGCCAGCCGCAGCUCCUACAAAAGCUGCAGCUGUAAGUUCGGUUUUCACUUCUAGUUUCCAUGGGUUGAAAGUCAGUAGUCGUUGAACAAAUCCCAACACGGGCAGAAGCCGAAAAUCGCAGAGCUCCAACUUUCGCAAGAGGAGGCGGUUCAGGAAAUGUGUUACAAUGGCACC
Molecule: long non-coding RNA, 236 nt
Filed under: Malus domestica (apple)
Lineage: Eukaryota; Viridiplantae; Streptophyta; Magnoliopsida; Rosales; Rosaceae
Description: long non-coding RNA (MDOM_LNC021280)
Source: RNAcentral